This is a long non-coding RNA of Nothoprocta perdicaria, 1120 nucleotides long. RefSeq lists it as uncharacterized. The transcript is spliced from 2 exons. Lineage: Eukaryota; Metazoa; Chordata; Aves; Tinamiformes; Tinamidae. The record is from RefSeq and is a predicted model, not a curated record.
GCAGGAGAAAUAAAUCCUGUACCAGCCCAGCUGCCAAUAGAAUGGGACCUCCCCCUGAAGCAAAGUGAUGAUUCCGGUCAUUCUGUAACGAGGGGAGCUUUCCCAGGGCGGAGAAGUCCUAAGGACUUGCUAGACUUGAAUAACUGAAAGGAAGUGCAGGUUGUCAACCCUGUCUUACUUGGAGUGUGGCUUACACAUCUUCCUAAGCCCACUUGAAUGUGAAGCAAGCCUGGAAGCAUGGUGGUCUCUUACACCUGCAGACCCUGUCAGGAUUCAUGGAGCACAAGAAGGCCAAGAGGGACUGUUAUUAGAUCAUCUGUUCGGAGGUUGUGGUUAGCUCCACUUAACRUCACUGUUUUGUCAUCUGUGUCCGAGUAUCCUCCUGGACUCCGAGGUCUGUUUUUCUCUUGUCUCAGAGUCUGUCUCCAUUUGAUAGCCCCAACAGGCUCUGCCAGAAGUUUCCCACGUGCUGCUGUGGUUGUGCUUGAGGGCUGGGCUGCUUUUGGCAGGCAGUUCCCCCCACGGUGUGACUGGGCUUGUCUCCUGACCAUGCUUUUACCUUCCUCCUGGCUUGGCAGACCUUUGUUGCCUCUUACUGCUCAACUCUUGACAUGACUCCUGAGCCUGCCUUGUGGCUUGGUACAAUUGUAGGUUUGUUUCCUGUUAUCAGCUCCGAAAUUAAUUUUAGUUUGACUCUAACCACUUAGGAAGGUUACCUGCCUCCUUGGUUAGAUUACCUGAUAGCGUGAAGCCCACAGGAACUGCUAAUACCUGCACAGGGAUUUAGCAGGAGCUGAUUAGUGCUGUUCAUGCACAUUUGUUGUUGCAUGUGCUGUAUGUCACCCUACAACCACUGUUUUAUCUUCAUGUCUAUUUUGUUCUACCACUAGACUCUCUGGGGACAGAUACAAAUUAAAAGCAAAUUAUGCAACCUUUACCAUUCCUCGGCAGACACCCGYCUCAUCCCAGCUACCCUGAAUAAAUAUAACAGCCAUCAUACAUCUGAGUACAGCCUAUGGAAAAAGUGUGUGGUGCUUGAAGGACGAAACACUUGGACACCGAAUCCAUCAUGCAUCUGAGCAGGUUUUGAGUAGCGCUGUAUCAAGCAACUGCCUUUUGC